GGGCCUGUGGUGUAGCAUGGAUAUCACUGGGGCCUCCGGAGCCCCAAUCCCGGGUUCAAAUCCCGGCAGGCCCG
This 74-nucleotide transfer RNA is filed under the name Thermoplasmata archaeon. Its description in RNAcentral is "tRNA-Arg". It matches the Rfam family "tRNA". Rfam says of the family: Transfer RNA (tRNA) molecules are approximately 80 nucleotides in length. Their secondary structure includes four short double-helical elements and three loops (D, anti-codon, and T loops). The record is from RNAcentral. Lineage: Archaea; Methanobacteriati; Thermoplasmatota; Thermoplasmata.